Molecule: ribosomal RNA, 1495 nt
Filed under: uncultured bacterium
Lineage: Bacteria
Description: bacterial SSU rRNA
Rfam family: Bacterial small subunit ribosomal RNA
Source: RNAcentral
UUAGAGUUUGAUCCUGGCUCAGGAUGAACGCUAGUGACAGGCUUAACACAUGCAAGUCGAGGGGUAACAUUGGUGCUUGCACCAGAUGACGACCGGCGCACGGGUGCGUAACGCGUAUACAAUCUACCUUAUACAGGGGGAUAGCCCAGAGAAAUUUGGAUUAAUACCCUAUAGUAUUGAGAAGAGGCAUCUUUUUUCAAUUAAAGAUUUAUCGGUAUAAGGUGAGUAUGCGUCCUAUUAGUUAGUUGGUAAGGUAAUGGCUUACCAAGGCUAUGAUAGGUAGGGGUCCUGAGAGGGAGAUCCCCCACACUGGUACUGAGACACGGACCAGACUCCUACGGGAGGCAGCAGUGAGGAAUAUUGGACAAUGGAAGCAAUUCUGAUCCAGCCAUGUCGCGUGCAGGAAGACGGCCCUAUGGGUUGUAAACUGCUUUUCUACAGGAAGAAACCCCUGGACGAGUUUCGGGUCUGACGGUACUGUAGGAAUAAACACCGGCUAACUCCGUGCCAGCAGCCGCGGUAAUACGGAGGGUGUAAGCGUUAUCCGGAAUCAUUGGGUUUAAAGGGUCUGUAGGCGGGUUGCUAAGUCAGGGGUGAAAUCCCACAGCUCAACUGUGGCAUUGCCUUUGAUACUGGUGAUCUUGAGAUAUAGUGAGGUAGAUAGAAUGUGUAGUGUAGCGGUGAAAUGCAUAGAUAUUACACAGAAUACCGAUUGCGAAGGCAGUCUACUAACUAUCAUCUGACGCUGAUAGACGAAAGCGUGGGGAGCGAACAGGAUUAGAUACCCUGGUAGUCCACGCCGUAAACGAUGGAUACUAGCUAUUGGGUUUUAGGAUUCAGUGGCCAAGCGAAAGUGAUAAGUAUCCCACCUGGGGAGUACGUUCGCAAGAAUGAAACUCAAAGGAAUUGACGGGGGCCCGCACAAGCGGUGGAGCAUGUGGUUUAAUUCGAUGAUACGCGAGGAACCUUACCAGGGCUUAAAUGUAGAGUGCAUUAGAUGGAAACAUUUAUUUCUUCGGACUCUCUACAAGGUGCUGCAUGGUUGUCGUCAGCUCGUGCCGUGAGGUGUCAGGUUAAGUCCUAUAACGAGCGCAACCCUUAUCGUUAGUUGCUAACAGGUAAAGCUGAGGACUCUAGCGAGACUGCCGGUGCAAACCGUGAGGAAGGUGGGGAUGACGUCAAAUCAUCACGGCCCUUACGUCCUGGGCUACACACGUGCUACAAUGGUAGGUACAGAGAGCAGCCACUACGCGAGUAGGAGCGAAUCUACAAAGCCUAUCACAGUUCGGAUCGGAGUCUGCAACUCGACUCUGUGAAGCUGGAAUCGCUAGUAAUCGCAUAUCAGCCAUGAUGCGGUGAAUACGUUCCCGGGCCUUGUACACACCGCCCGUCAAGCCAUGGAAGCUGGGAGUGCCUGAAGUCGGUUACCGCGAGGAUCCGCCUAGGGUAAAACUAGUAACUAGGGCUAAGUCGUAACAAGGUAACCAAGGGCGAA